Molecule: ribosomal RNA, 253 nt
Filed under: uncultured bacterium
Lineage: Bacteria
Description: partial 16S ribosomal RNA
Rfam family: Bacterial small subunit ribosomal RNA
Source: RNAcentral
GACGGAGGGGGCUAGCGUUGUUCGGAAUUACUGGGCGUAAAGGGCGUGUAGGCGGCCUGCCAAGUCAGAUGUGAAAGCCCCUGGCAGAACCUGGGAACUGCAUUUGAGACUGGCCGGCUCGAGGUUGGAAGAGGAGAGUGGAAUUCCCAGUGUAGAGGUGAAAUUCGUAGAUAUUGGGAAGAACACCGGUGGCGCAGGCGGCUCUCUGGUCCACUCCUGACGCUGAGGCUCGAAAGCGUGGGGAGCAAACAGG